Argiope bruennichi is the source of this 1792-nucleotide long non-coding RNA. RefSeq lists it as uncharacterized. The record is from RefSeq and is a predicted model, not a curated record. NCBI's taxonomy places the organism in Eukaryota, Metazoa, Arthropoda, Arachnida, Araneae, Araneidae. The transcript has 5 exons.
CAUGAUCGGAACACAUCUUUCAAAAUAGUUACAGCACAUUCAACUGUCUCAACACGCCUCGUCCUGAGAUCACUUUUGUCUAUAGGGACAGAAUUAAUCCGCGAUCUGAGUUUGUCAGCGUGUUACAUCCACGAGGAAGAUGUUCUUCAAUAGGACAGUGUUCGGCUAGGAACAUAAGGAGCUGAGCACUUAGCAGAAGAAAUGUUUCGGUUCCCGACAUAAAUUCUGUGAAUAACAAUUUUGAUUGCCAGAAAACGAUAUCUUCGGUAUCAACCUGAGAAAUCGCCAUCAGAAGACCGGCUACAUUCUCAACUCAUUUACGAAACGGCACAAUUUAUAACGAGAUACAGAAAAUAUUGACGAUGACGUCGAAAUACAAAUACACCUAUGAUGCAGAUUCAAGCCAUAAUUACUUGGGAACAUUUAUUGAGACAGAUGCAACCAACUAUUUCCCAAUAAAAGAAUCGAUGAAAUCGAAACACGUAUCAUUGGAUCAACUUAUCCAUGUGAGGGUAGAAUUGAUCGGUCGCCUGAGAAUGCUACAAUCGCCUACACGCUGUUGCCUUCCAAGUACCUCUUCAGAUAGUGAAACUGAUGGGAUAAGGAUUGUUCCCAGAUGCCUGUUCACAUGUUUCAACUGAAAUGAUUGCAAUAAAGCAAACGUUUUGACCCUUCAACAAAAGCACUUUUGGAAUUCGAAGCUUCUGCAAGGGAAUUGUGAGAGAAGAUUGAGGUGAUCCAAUUGAUACAUUCUAAAGCUUGUGAUUAAUUUCAAGCGCAAUGUGACAUUAAAGAUAUAAAACCCCAAUAUAUGAACAAUCAUCUAGAAAUGUGUUACUUCUGCAAUCUGCGUUAUUUUUGAAUAUCGAAGCGUGUUUAAAAUGUUUGCUCCUGUAAUAAGGUUAAGCGAAAUUUGUAUUUACUUUUUGCAGAAUACUAUUGACAAAUGGUGAACUACUUUGUUUCAAACUCUACGAAAGCUUGACGUUAGAGCUAUAACUUUCGUAUGUUUUGUAUCGCUAUUUUUUUUAAUUCAAAACGAUUAAUACAUCAAUCAAUAUUUAAUCUUAAAAUCUUUGCUAUUUACGUUUUAUUCAGAUAGAAACUGAAUAUAAUUACACGACAUGUAUUGUAAUGCCUGUUCAGUUCUUUCAAAGCAUAUUUUGUACUCUUUUGAAAAGAAGCUUUGGAAAUGAUUUUUAGAUUGUAGCGAAAUUCUUGUUGAUAUAUUUUGUUGUUCACCAUUUCACUAGCAAUUCAUUUUUCUUAAAGGGUGGAAGCACAAUACAUUUGUUCUCUGUAUAAUGAAUAAAAUUUUUGUUUAAAAUUCUACUUGUGACCAUGCCUAUUUGAAGCGCGGCAUGUUAAUUAGCCUAUUAUGUGCUCUGUAUUCAUAAUUAUUACAACUAUAACUUAGAGCGGAGAACUGGAAUUAUUCCAGAUAUUUUCCCCAAAGUAUCUUUUAUGACGUCUUCCGCCAUUAAAUGCAAUUUAUCAUUUGUAUUAUGGUAUUGGUAGUUUUUUUUAAUCUUAAAUGACGGACUGCCACUGUAUAAUUUUCAAAAUGGAGCUAUUCUAUUUUUGAAAUCGUAUUCUACCGAUAUAGCAAAGUCUAACAUCUUGCUGUUUAAUCUCAUAAAUUUUAUAAAAUUUCUCCCAUUUUUACUGUAGUAUCGAGUGAAUUUCCCCGCCUUUAUUUUGUAUGAAAUGAAUAUCAAAGAAUACUACAUGCUUCAAAAUACAAUAUGGAUAAUUGUAGUGCAUACAUCAAAUUUGGUAUUUUUUUAUAAGA